Molecule: ribosomal RNA, 311 nt
Filed under: Pseudanabaena limnetica KUAC 3237
Lineage: Bacteria; Bacillati; Cyanobacteriota; Cyanophyceae; Pseudanabaenales; Pseudanabaenaceae
Description: bacterial SSU rRNA
Rfam family: Bacterial small subunit ribosomal RNA
Source: RNAcentral
CUGUGGAUUGUAAACUCCUUUUCUCAGGGAAGAAGAACUGACGGUACCUGAGGAAUCAGCAUCGGCUAACUCCGUGCCAGCAGCCGCGGUAAGACGGAGGAUGCAAGCGUUAUCCGGAAUUAUUGGGCGUAAAGCGUCCGUAGGCGGUUUAUCAAGUCUGUCGUUAAAGACUGCAGCUUAACUGUGGGCGAGCGAUGGAAACUGAUGAACUGGAGUGCGGUAGGGGUAGAGGGAAUUCCCAGUGUAGCGGUGAAAUGCGUAGAUAUUGGGAAGAACACCAGUGGCGAAGGCGCUCUACUGGGCCGCAACUG